UUCUCCCUUCCGCGACGAGCUUCUUCGAUUUAAACCUGUCGAAGGUUUCUCACUCCCGAUUGAGAAUCUGAGUAUCGAAGCUGCGUUGUUGAAUGAAGUUCAUCUACGACUAUGGAGCUUUCGGAAUGGAUUACUCAUGCCGCGGAGACGAGCUGAAGUUUAUCCUUGGCCGUGAUGAUCCUCCGUUACUGGAGUUGUAGAUACCUGCUGUUGAGAUCUAUGCCUCUACACAGACAUCAAGUUACCAUUUGUUCAAGCACUUAUGCACUUAGAUAGCUUGGAAUGCAAAACUCAGUAGCAUGAAGUUGAUGAUGAUAAGAGAUAUGAUGCAAGACAAGGAUGUAAAAGGGAGCACACUUUAGUUGUUUACCCUGAGUUCGGCCUCAUUCGAGGUACCUACAUCUCAGGGGUAGGCAAGCUACCAAUCCACUAGAUAAAGAGGUUACAAGCUUUGUCUCUCACCCUCUCAUGUGAAUACAAAGCUAUCUCUCAAACCCCUGUUUCCCCUCUCUCUAGUUUCUCUACUACCAAGCAAUUAUGUGCUUGUAGUACUCUCAGCCUAGGUGUUUAUACACCUCUCCUGCCCUCUUUGGUGCUGUCUCUCAGCACCCCUUGGUGCUCACUCACGUUUAGCUCUAGCACUCUGGUGCUCUGCUCAAGCAGCACACUGAGCUCUGACCUGUUCUCUUUGCUUUUAUACUGCUGGAGCUUUAACCUAAAGCAACAACUAACCAAUAGGUAGAGUUAACCCUUGCUACCAUAACUUGAGUUAAGCUUUGGUUCCUUUUGUCUCCUGCUCCAUUAACCCUUCACGCAAAGCAGUAACUAGCCAGCAUGCUUUCUUUGUCUCAUCUGAGACAAGCCUGCAAACGUACGAACUCAUACCCAACGGAGAGAGAGAGAGAUCACGUGAGUUAAGGGUUUAAGCUUAUCCUUGAAACCCUCUUUGUCCAUCCAAGGCUCUUGCUCCUCUUUUCAAAUGAAACUCUCUUCAACUCAUACUGAAGCUCCAUCUGAUUAAUAACAUGUCUUGGAUUCAAACUAACUCCACACCUGCUAGCUUAGUUAUAGUAGUCUGGCUUGAGUUAGAUUAUUACUGAUCUGUUGCAGAAUGUUGAAUAUAAUUGAGUUUCCAAUUUUAUAAGCAUUCAUAUAGUUAGUUAUAUUAGUAAUGUUGAUUUGUAUUAAGUUAGUUACACAUCAAUUUAGAGAAGAGUUGUGUCUCUCUAAACAUAAAGUCCUGUCUUUCAAACCUGAAGUCGUGUGUUUGUUGUUAUUCUAUUUAACUUUGUUGCCGUAA
Long non-coding RNA from Brassica rapa (field mustard), 1300 nucleotides. RefSeq lists it as uncharacterized. NCBI's taxonomy places the organism in Eukaryota, Viridiplantae, Streptophyta, Magnoliopsida, Brassicales, Brassicaceae. The record is from RefSeq and is a predicted model, not a curated record.